RNAcentral lists this ribosomal RNA (253 nucleotides) under uncultured bacterium. RNAcentral's name for it is "partial 16S ribosomal RNA". It matches the Rfam family "Bacterial small subunit ribosomal RNA", at positions 524 to 776 of the family's 1533-position model. The record is from RNAcentral.
UACGUAGGGUCCGAGCGUUGCUCGGAAUUACUGGGCGUAAAGGGCGCGUAGGCGGGAUGGCAAGUCGGUCGUGAAAUACCUCGGCUCAACUGAGGAGCGUCGAUCGAAACUGCCGUUCUUGAGGGUUGCAGAGGAGACUGGAAUUCCCGGUGUAGCGGUGAAAUGUGUAGAGAUCGGGAGGAACACCGGUGGCGAAGGCGGGUCUCUGGGCAAUUCCUGACGCUGAGGCGCGAAAGCGUGGGGAGCAAACGGG